GCAGCUUCACUUUUCAAAAAAAAAAAAAAAAAAAAAAGACUGGGCACCAAAACUGAAGUCGCCAUCCGGCAUCUUGAUUAUCCCAAAACAGCCAUGCCGAGCUGCACGUUAAUCGCCAGUUUUGUGGUUGUGAGAAAAUAUUCCACAGGGUCGUUCGUCUGACCUUUGAUGUCAUCCGUGCUUACCCGUCCUCUGCUUGUCUGGCCGGAGUAAAACUUGUUACGGUCAACUUCAACUCGCAAAAACAAAUGACGUACUUGGCACAGUCGACGCUGUUAUGUAUCAUUUUGGAUUGGCGGUCUGCAGCAGCACCAAACAGACGACCCGCCACAUUUUCACACAAGACUGGACGUUGUUCUCGUUCUGUUUGCCCCUUUUCUGUGUGCUGCAGCCAUUGUGCAGAAGACAACAGCAUGUCCUGAAAGUCAGGCCAGCCUUCACCCUCCUCCUCAUCCCCCACUACCCCCUCAUUGUCGUUGCAGUCGGCAUGGAAGGUCUGUUUCCAUGACAACGGGAGAAUUCAGGGCGAAGGAGCGCCGUCCCAA
Molecule: long non-coding RNA, 545 nt
Organism: Syngnathoides biaculeatus (alligator pipefish)
Lineage: Eukaryota; Metazoa; Chordata; Actinopteri; Syngnathiformes; Syngnathidae
Exons: 3
Source: RefSeq, a predicted model, not a curated record